Molecule: ribosomal RNA, 528 nt
Filed under: Bifidobacterium breve
Lineage: Bacteria; Bacillati; Actinomycetota; Actinomycetes; Bifidobacteriales; Bifidobacteriaceae
Description: bacterial SSU rRNA
Rfam family: Bacterial small subunit ribosomal RNA
Source: RNAcentral
UGGUAAUGCCGGAUGCUCCAUCACACCGCAUGGUGUGUUGGGAAAGCCUUUGCGGCAUGGGAUGGGGUCGCGUCCUAUCAGCUUGAUGGCGGGGUAACGGCCCACCAUGGCUUCGACGGGUAGCCGGCCUGAGAGGGCGACCGGCCACAUUGGGACUGAGAUACGGCCCAGACUCCUACGGGAGGCAGCAGUGGGGAAUAUUGCACAAUGGGCGCAAGCCUGAUGCAGCGACGCCGCGUGAGGGAUGGAGGCCUUCGGGUUGUAAACCUCUUUUGUUAGGGAGCAAGGCAUUUUGUGUUGAGUGUACCUUUCGAAUAAGCACCGGCUAACUACGUGCCAGCAGCCGCGGUAAUACGUAGGGUGCAAGCGUUAUCCGGAAUUAUUGGGCGUAAAGGGCUCGUAGGCGGUUCGUCGCGUCCGGUGUGAAAGUCCAUCGCUUAACGGUGGAUCCGCGCCGGGUACGGGCGGGCUUGAGUGCGGUAGGGGAGACUGGAAUUCCCGGUGUAACGGUGGAAUGUGUAGAUAUCG